RNAcentral lists this ribosomal RNA (250 nucleotides) under uncultured bacterium. Its description in RNAcentral is "partial 16S ribosomal RNA". It matches the Rfam family "Bacterial small subunit ribosomal RNA", at positions 524 to 773 of the family's 1533-position model. The record is from RNAcentral.
UACGGAGGAGGCAAGCGUUAUCCGGAAUUAUUGGGCGUAAAGCGUCCGUAGGUGGUUUAGUAAGUCUGCUGUCAAAGCGCGGGGCUUAACUCCGUAAAGGCAGUGGAAACUACUAGACUUGAGUGCGGUAGGGGUAGAGGGAAUUCCCAGUGUAGCGGUGAAAUGCGUAGAUAUUGGGAAGAACACCGGUGGCGAAAGCGCUCUACUGGGCCGUAACUGACACUGAUGGACGAAAGCUAGGGGAGCGAAA